AUCAUUAUGAAACCCCGUGAAUCUUCUCUCCAUUAUGGUAGCACUAAUCGUGUGUUAGUUUCAGCUAGUGAAUCUUCAAUUAUAUUUCAACUUUUUUUCCUUCUUCAAUUUCCUUCUUGAUUUUUUCUGUGGCUUUUUGUUUCAAUUCGAAAUUAUGAACAAAAAAUCGAAAGCUAAUGUUACGCUCCGAAAAGAUCUCAGAUUAGAACAUAUGCAUGGUGUGAGCAAUCGAUCAACCUUCAAUUUGCUCACACAAACAUUGAAAAAGAAGUCAAGAAUAAUACGAAAAGUGGCAGUAUUGCCAUCGGUAUCAAUUCUACAAAACAAACCUCUAAAAAGAGAAAGUAUAAGAAUGUCGCAUCUACUCCAUCGAAAGAUUCAGACUCCGACUUUAUUCAUGAUUCACAAGUUAAAAGAGGUAAAAAAAAUAAUUAAAGGAGGGACUUCAUGAGCGAAAAAAUUCAAGCCUAGUGUGGGUGUGAACACAGAUUUGAAAGAUUCCAAGAAAAAAAAAAGAAGGAAAGAUGUUCUGAAGGGACCGGCAUUGCUCCACACUCUCUUCCUCAUGGCUAAGUUAGAUUAUUGAAGGAUAAUACUAUUGUGAUACAGGUGUUAGAGAUCAUCAAUAGGCGCUGCGUUGAAGAUCUAUUUUUAUUUCCUGAUAGUGGUGAGACCUCCUUGCUUUCGGAGAAAAUAAUAUUAUUUCAUUUUACCUUUUGAUAUUUUCUUUUGGGUAGCCAUGAACUUGUUAUUGGCACCUUCUGGAUAGUGAUAGAGGCUAUAUAGACAGAUAGUAAAUGUGUCGAGUAAAUGUUUUGAUUUUGAAAACUAUCCUUUGAUACAGAGUUGAGACGAGGUUGGUUUUAAAUACAUUAUUCUUCUUGAAUCGUUGAUUUGGCUAACACACUUGAAUGUCUUUUUAAAUUGCAUCGAGUCUUCCGCUGAGUGAUUGAAUGAGUGAUCGGACCAAGUGGUUCGCUUGAGGACCAG
Solanum dulcamara is the source of this 990-nucleotide long non-coding RNA. RefSeq lists it as uncharacterized. The record is from RefSeq and is a predicted model, not a curated record. Lineage: Eukaryota; Viridiplantae; Streptophyta; Magnoliopsida; Solanales; Solanaceae. The transcript has 3 exons.